UGCAAGUCGAACGGGAUCCAUCAAGCUUGCUUGGUGGUGAGAGUGGCGAACGGGUGAGUAAUGCGUGACCGACCUGCCCCAGACAGGGGAAUAACACACCGAAAGGUGUACUAAUACCGCAUAAGACCACGGGAUCACAUGGUUCUGGGGUAAAAGAAUUAUCGGUUUGGGGUGGGCUCGCGUCCGAUUAGGUAGUUGGUGAGGUAACGGCCCACCAAGCCGACGAUCGGUAGCCGACCUGAGAGGGUGAUCGGCCACAUUGGGACUGAGACACGGCCCAAACUCC
RNAcentral lists this ribosomal RNA (286 nucleotides) under uncultured bacterium. RNAcentral's name for it is "partial 16S ribosomal RNA". It matches the Rfam family "Bacterial small subunit ribosomal RNA", at positions 56 to 339 of the family's 1533-position model. The record is from RNAcentral.